GAAGGACCUAGUUAAGGUGAACAACUACCUCAGGAAGAGGUUUCUCGAUGUCGCCCUGGCUAUACUCACUUUGGCAUGUAGAUCAUGUUGGCUUCAAACUUAGAGAGCUCUGCCUGCCUCUGCUUCCCAUGUGCUGGGAUUAAGGUGUGAGCCAAGGAGCCCAGAUACCCCUGGAAGACAGAGGCGUCAGAUUCCCUGGAGUUACUGUUACAAGCUAUGAUCUUGUCCCAGUUCCCUUGCUGGGAAUAUUCAAGAAGCUGAGCUUCCAAGGAGGCACCUGUUACGGUGCCAAGCAGCGCUGAACAAGGGACUGGAAAAUGAACAGCCAGAGACAUUCUAUGGAAAAGAGAACAAACAACACAUUAUUUUUAAACCUCUCAAAUGCAAAGAAGCAAGAGGUUUCUUUUCCCUCUCUUCUUUCUCCCAAAUGGAAAUCCUCUCAAAACAACAACCUUCAACCCAAAAUGCCAGAAAAUCUGCCAUCCACAGCAUUCACUGAAAACAGCUAACCUCCACCACACACCCAGGAGCCCAAAGGUUAAUAAAAAAACACAGGUGAUCUAUUUCCCACCCUCCUGUUUCAAAAAUCAAUUUAUCCUGAAAAGUAGUUUCUGAGUCUGGUGAGCACCCCCCUCCCUACUCUCAAUUACGAGAGACACUGCUCCCAGACUCUUCUGUGCUGCUGGGUUGUCGGGCACCACAGAGGAUCUGAGGCUCUUUAAAGGCUUGCACUGACCUUUAACAUAAAACUGAAUUUCAAUUCUUUCAUUUCCCUCCACAGGUUUAAUUCAGGCAUUUUUUUUUUACACUUUUAUGGUUGUUUGAAUAGAAAUGCCCACCAUAUGCAACCCAGCACUUGGGAUGCAGAGGCAGGCAGAUAUGUAUAAAUUCAAGGCCAGCGUGACCUACUGAGUGAGUUCUAGGACAGUUAGCCAAGGCUACACAAGGGAAACUCUCUUGAAAUCCCCCUGAAAAGAAAGAACACAAGAAAAAUAAAAUAUCCCCUGUAAGGGCUCAUGUUUGAAUGCUUAAUCACCAGAGAGUGGAACUACUCAAAAAGAUUAGAAGUAUUGGAAUAUGCAAUCUUGUUGGAAGGAAUUUGUGUACCAUUGGGUGUGGGGUGUCACUGAGUGGGUCACUACCUUCUUGAUGGUGAAGGGAAUUGACCCCAACUGCUUACACAGGCUUAGUAGUGCUCUACCACUGAGCUAUAUUAUAUUCCCACAGUUUUCCUUUGCUAUUUUAUCUUUUAAAACAGAUCUUAAAAGUUGCUUAGUCUAGGUUUGACCUCUUUAACUCAGGCAGGCCUUCAACUCCCAAUGUUUCUGCUUCAGUCUCCAGAAAGAGCUAGGACUAUAGACACCUACCCCCAUACCCAGUUUUAGAUUUUUUCCUAUUUGGAAAACUGUCUUCAUUAACAUAGUAGACCCUCAAUAUCUGAGAAAGAAUGGCUUCAGGACUCCCUCCCCACAGAUGCCAACCCAAAGUCAUAGAUGCUCAAGUCUCUUAUAGAAAAUGGAAUAGUAUUUGCAAGCAACCUAUACAUAUCUUUCCAGUGAACUUAAAAUGCUACCUAGAUUACCUGCAAUACUAAAGAUGACUCCCAUGCAGUUGUUAGGCUGCACUGUUUACAGAAUAAGGCCUAAAAAGUCUGUACAUUUUCACAACAGAUGCCAUUUUGAGGUGAAUCAGUGUGAUUAAUAGUAUUCACUUUUGACCUGAAAGAAACUAGAAUUAUCUCAGAGAUGCACACCCAUGGGAGAUAAUUUUGAUAAUGUUAAUUAAAGUUGGAAGAUCCACCCAUGGCAGAGAGUGCUGUUUCUUUGGACUGAGAUGCUUGGCUAAAUAAAAAGAAGGAAGUUUCCAAGAUCAGCUCAGGGCAUGGGCUCAGACCCACCAAAUUCAGACACUAUUGUGGAUGCCAAGAAGUGCUUGCUGACAGAAGCCUGAUAUGGCUGUCUCCUGAGAGGCUCUGUAAGAGCCUGACAUAUACAGAGGUGGAAGCUCUCCGCCAACCAUUGGACUGAGCACGGGGACCCCAAAGGCUUACUUCGAGAAAGGACUGAAGGAGCUGAAGGGGAUUGCAACCCUAUAGGAAGAACAACAAUGUGAACCAACCAGAGCUCCCAGGGACUAAAACACCAAGGGGUACACAUGGAGGGACCCAUGGCUCCAGCUGCAAAUGUAUCAGAGGAUAUCCUUGUCAGAGGCCCUUGGUCACAUGAAGGCUCAAGGUCCCAGUGUAGGAGAAUUCGAGGACAGGGAGGUUGGAGUGGCUGGGUGGAUGGGUGAGGGCAACCCUUAAAAAUUCAGGAGGAGGUGCAGCUGACCCUUGCAAAUAAAGUAGAUCUUCCCAGGCCACUCUAAAUCCUUCACUAACAUAGCCUACCUCCCCUGAGCUCUGAUGUAAUUAUGGUUUGUCUUUUAAAAUGCUAUAUCCCUGACCUUGGACACGUUGGAGCCUUUUUAGAGGCAGGAGGGGCUUCUUGGUCUAGCCAUUAAUAAAACAAG
Molecule: long non-coding RNA, 2511 nt
Organism: Apodemus sylvaticus (European woodmouse)
Lineage: Eukaryota; Metazoa; Chordata; Mammalia; Rodentia; Muridae
Exons: 3
Source: RefSeq, a predicted model, not a curated record